RNAcentral lists this ribosomal RNA (255 nucleotides) under uncultured bacterium. Its description in RNAcentral is "partial 16S ribosomal RNA". It matches the Rfam family "Bacterial small subunit ribosomal RNA", at positions 524 to 776 of the family's 1533-position model. The record is from RNAcentral.
UACGAAGGGGGCUAGCGUUGCUCGGAAUCACUGGGCGUAAAGGGUGCGUAGGCGGGUCUUUUAAGUCAGGGGUGAAAUCCUGGAGCUCAACUCCAGAACUGCCUUUGAUACUGAGGAUCUUGAGUUCGGGAGAGGUGAGUGGAACUGCGAGUGUAGAGGUGAAAUUCGUAGAUAUUCGCAAGAACACCAGUGGCGAAGGCGAUCACCUGGGGGUUGUUCUGACGCUGAGGUGCGAAAGCGUGGGGAGCGAACAGG